CUUCCAGAAUUGCUCCAAUUCCAUCUGGAAGCAUUGUGCUCAGGCUUGUAAGAACCAGAAUUGUUUUUUCUUUUUUCUCGGCUUUUGUCUGCGCAAGAUGCCUGAAGACCCAAAGAGUCAGAACCUUUCGACUGUUUUCCUUUUGGUGCAGCUUUGGACGAAGAGGGUCGUUCGAUAAAGUCUCGCCGUUGUUGUUUUCCGUGUUUGAACAUGAAUGACUAUGAAGCUCACUCCUGUCCUUAGAAAAGUCUCCAUCCGCAUAAGGCCAGCAGAGACUGAACGGCGUCGGCAGUCGGGGGAAAGAACCCACCUGCUUAUCAACCGAAGCACGUGUUAUUACAUCUGAAAAGGAGGAUAUCCAAAUCAAACUGAAAUGACAGUGAAGGGACUGGCGCUGUGGCAUAGCGGGUAAAGCCACUACGUGCAGUGCCAGCAUCCCAUAUGGGCGCUGGUUUGAGUCCCAGAUGCUCCACUUCAGAUCCAACUCCCUGAUGGUGCACCUGGGAAAGCAGUAGAAGAUGGCCCAGGUGCUUGGGCCCCUGAACCCACGUGGGAGACCCAGAAGAAGCUCCUGGCUUCUCACUUCGGAUCGGCUCAGCUCGGCCGUUGCGGCCAAAUGGGGAGGAGUGGAUGGAAGACCUCUCUCUGCCUCUCCUUCUCACUCUGUGUAAUUCUGACUUGCAAAUAAAUAAAUCUUAAAAAAAAAAAAAAACCUGACUGUGAAGUGUUACUGAGAAUUAGGCAAAGACAAACUCCUAAAGUUGAAGUUAGGUAACUUAACAAAGACUUCUGUGUUAGUCACUGUGGGUUUUUUAAAUAUUUUAAACAAACAAACAAAAAAAGAAGCAAACAAUAUCUAUUAAGCAAAACUUAUCCCAGAUAUAGUCCCUAGUGACUUCUAUCCAAUGGUGGGCUUCAAUUUUAGGAGUACUACUUC
Lepus europaeus (European hare) is the source of this 937-nucleotide long non-coding RNA. RefSeq lists it as uncharacterized. The record is from RefSeq and is a predicted model, not a curated record. The transcript is spliced from 3 exons. Lineage: Eukaryota; Metazoa; Chordata; Mammalia; Lagomorpha; Leporidae.